AACGAUAUCUAAUCUGAAAAAGCCAAAAAUAAUAAUAAUUUCAUAUGUGUCGGAGAAUAAAGAAUAUACGAUUAAAUUAUGUUCAAAAUGGGGAAAAUUAAUCGAGAUGGUAAAGAAAGUAAACCAGAGAAAGAAACACACACUGUAAUGAAGAAUAAAAAGUAAGAUCAUACCUAAACAACUUUGAAGGGCCGCUCCAACUCCACUCUCUCAAUCCGAUUUGAUUUGGUGUUGUACUCGUUUGGGUUUGGGGGAGACUAUACUUUUUUUAUUUAUAGUGUUAAAUCUCCGAGUCCGGAACCGUUUAAGAAUCAUACUCGUAUUUAGUUUAGGACUCCCAACUCCUGCUGGGUUUAGGAAUACUAACUCCUAUCUGAUUUACGACUUUUUAAUUCCUAUCAAGAUUUGGUUUAGGACUCCCAACUCCUACUGGGUUUAGGAAUCCUAACUCCUGGCUGAUUUAGGACUUUUUAAUUCCUCCCUAAUCUAUGACUCACCCUCGAAAGAGCUCGUAUCAAGAUUUGGGCUCCUGGUUGAUAUAGACUUGUACCUUAAAUUGCGAGAGAGGUCGGUUGCCAUGGUGGGUGGACGGAUUAGAUCUCCAGGAAAAGUAUACAGGGGCCAGAUCGUCUCUACGUGCUCCGGUCACCUGGGCUCAGGUGCUGGCGCGACGGUCCUCUCCGGUGAGCUCUUUGGUGUUCUCUGAUUUCAAAGUUUAAGAGGAUCAAGAGUGACUCGCCUGACUUUUUGGCGUUCGACGAUGCCCAACUUGCCGAAUGGCGACGGCCUUGGAGCCAUAGCUUGGUGGGACGGUUCCUCCGGCGACCUCCGACAUUGGAUAGCAUCAAGGCCG
RNAcentral lists this long non-coding RNA (853 nucleotides) under Musa acuminata (dwarf banana). RNAcentral's name for it is "long non-coding RNA (MACU_LNC009758)". The record is from RNAcentral. Lineage: Eukaryota; Viridiplantae; Streptophyta; Magnoliopsida; Zingiberales; Musaceae.